ACCUACGGGGGACAGCAGUGGGGAAUAUUGCACAAUGGGCGAAAGCCUGAUGCAGCAACGCCGCGUGAAGGAAGAAGGCUUUCGGGUUGUAAACUUCUUUUCUCAGGGACGAAGCAAGUGACGGUACCUGAGGAAUAAGCCACGGCUAACUACGUGCCAGCAGCCGCGGUAAUACGUAGGUGGCAAGCGUUAUCCGGAUUUACUGGGUGUAAAGGGCGUGUAGGCGGGAAAGCAAGUCAGAUGUGAAAACCACGGGCUCAACCUGUGGCCUGCAUUUGAAACUGUUUUUCUUGAGUACUGGAGAG
This 305-nucleotide ribosomal RNA is filed under the name uncultured bacterium. Its description in RNAcentral is "bacterial SSU rRNA". It matches the Rfam family "Bacterial small subunit ribosomal RNA", at positions 337 to 656 of the family's 1533-position model. The record is from RNAcentral.